CUAGACGCCAUCGAAUUCUGUCAACGAUUUAACUUGUCCUUCUAAGGAUUAAAGAUUGACCGCUAAGAUAUUAUUUUAAAUAAAAAAUACAGUGAUAUAGACAAUCAAUCUGUCUUCUCUGAUGCCAAGGUGCCAAUACUAGACGGAAAUACUAUCAAAAGAACGUCAGAUCGCAGAAGCGAAAACCGACAUCAGACUUCAGAACGUAAGUGAAAAUUUCAUCCAAAAUUAGGCGGGAUCAUAGGGCAAGAGAAAUCGUAAACCGCUCGCCACACAAGCAACGUUUGAAUGAAGAACGUCCACGGGGCGGAUUUACCUAUGCUACGACCACAAAACUGAUAGCAAAGCCACUUGAUCGGGAUAAGCGUUGAAGCUACGAUUUUAAUUGAGUGAACGUGAAGAAGCUUACCUGUCUUUUCCUUGAUCUCACAGAGAACAUUGAAAAGGGCGGGCUUCAAGCGAUGGCAGUUCAAAGCAUGUUUCCUAUGUGAAUGUGUUGAGAAAACAAUACAUUAACAUAAAGCAUGGACUUCUGGACAGCUAAUAGUAUACACAAUCAGAAGAAUGAACGAUUUCUUGUCACCGUGACUCAAACUUGAUGCCUCGAUUAUUCGAACAGCAAACGGUGUUCGAUUUCACAGUUGACUCGUGCACUUACUUGGCUUGUGCUUCGUCCAAUGACUGAUCUGUGAUGCUCAUAAUUUGCUGCAAAAUAUCGCCAAUAUCUUGCUUACGUCCGUCUAAUUCCUCGGUUUGUUUCAUCUCAGCUCCCUGUUGGCCAUGCAUCAUCGAUACAGAAUUCACUGGCAUCGGGGCAGAAGUAUGCAUCAAUCUAUCAUUUCCUUCCAUAGAACCUCUUAGCUCCGUCUUCCUUCGGCAAACAAUCCAAGAUGUCGUCUCACGGUGCUCGAAUUUGGUCGAUCAAAACGAGACGCUAGGCCGCCUUUGGCACUCUUAAAUUCAAAGUAUUACUUAGAAACAGGUUUCCCCAGCUGAAUAGAGUUAGUGAUGUUUAUGUCCUUCGGGAUAGCUGUUACGUUUUUUGUGAAAGAGUGUUACGCGCGGUUGGCGGUCGUGUUCUCGAGCUGCCACUCAACUUGUGUUUUAAGCAACGACGUGUCAAUAUUUUCCGCGUGGGUUCAGAUUGAUUGACAGCUCGUAUUCUUCAUUAGCAUAUCCAACUUCCAAUAAAUUUACAAACAAGAUAGCAUAAAUCACCCGUUAUCAAACUUCUGUCGAUUGAAAUAGCUUCAAGAGAAUUUAAGCCAGAUUAAAUACUGGGAAUAAAUUUUAUAAUGAACUCAUAGAGAACAAACGAAGCCAUAAAACAUAAUUCAACAUUUCCAAGAUGGCGGACACUUUUGAGACAAUGCGUCAAUAUUCAUUUUGGUUGUCAUAGUAACAGACACCAGGUGUUGGAUGAUGGGUCAAGACAAAGGCAAAGUGAUAAGUGAAGGCGGUGAAAAAAACAAGAAAAACAAAUAUACUGCCCUUCGGCUUGUCUCUCAUUUUCGUCACAAUUUUGGACUUAAAAUGACAAUUUUGAAGUUCUUAAUAUGUGAAAUGGCGAGACAGUCUAAUGCUCUUUUUCUUAAGCAACAAAAACAUCUUAUUCGAACGUCUGAACAAGGCAAACCAGCGCUAAUUUUUGUGAAUAAACUCCUUGACAAAUGAA
Actinia tenebrosa (Australian red waratah sea anemone) is the source of this 1675-nucleotide long non-coding RNA. RefSeq lists it as uncharacterized. Lineage: Eukaryota; Metazoa; Cnidaria; Anthozoa; Actiniaria; Actiniidae. The record is from RefSeq and is a predicted model, not a curated record.